Molecule: non-coding RNA, 113 nt
Organism: Acanthosepion pharaonis
Lineage: Eukaryota; Metazoa; Mollusca; Cephalopoda; Sepiida; Sepiidae
Source: the annotation of a GenBank genome assembly
UAUGGCCACAUCACGUUGAAACAUUGGUUCCCGUAUGGUCAUCGAAGGUAAGCAAUGUCGAGCCUGGUCAGUAUGUAGAUGGGUGACUUCUUGGGAAUACCAGGUGCUGUAAG